UUUCGUUUACAUGAAAAUGACGCUAUCAAAUUAUAUUAAUAAUGGCUGAAAACAACCAUGCCACCAAUAAAUUUAUUUUGGGUAACGUUUCUCUCAUUCCUUGCUAAUCAUGCACAAUUGUUUUCUCAUCAAGUCGACAUUAUCCGUGCAUGAACAUAUAUUCAAUGUUGACUUUUAAACUAAAAGGUCGAAACAGUUGACGCCAAUUAAUGAUUGCAAAUAAAAUUCCAUUAGGGGGACAUUUUAAAGGACAAAACUAAC
This 261-nucleotide long non-coding RNA is filed under the name Glycine max (soybean). Its description in RNAcentral is "long non-coding RNA (GMAX_LNC002043)". The record is from RNAcentral. Lineage: Eukaryota; Viridiplantae; Streptophyta; Magnoliopsida; Fabales; Fabaceae.